Molecule: ribosomal RNA, 329 nt
Filed under: uncultured eukaryote
Lineage: Eukaryota
Description: partial 18S ribosomal RNA
Rfam family: Eukaryotic small subunit ribosomal RNA
Source: RNAcentral
CCCUUAGAUGUUCUGGGCCGCACGCGCGCUACACUGAUGCAUUCAACGAGUCUAAAACCUGCUCUGAUAGGGGUGGGUAAUCUUUUGAAUGUGCAUCGUGAUUGGGAUAGAUGAUUGCAAUUUUUCAUCUUCAACGAGGAAUGCCUAGUAAACGCAAGUCAUCAGCUUGCAUUGAUUACGUCCCUGCCCUUUGUACACACCGCCCGUCGCUCCUACCGAUUGAAUGAUCCGAUGAAUAUCAUGGAUUGAGGAUGCAAGCAGGUUCGCCUGUCUUCAUCUUCGAGAAGUGAAGUAAAUCUUAUCAUUUAGAGGAAGGAGUAGUCGUAACA